UACGGAGGGUGCGAGCGUUGUCCGGAAUCACUGGGCGUAAAGGGCGCGUAGGCGGCGCGGAAAGUCAACGGUGAAAGCUCGGGGCUCAACCCCGAGUCGGCCGUCGAUACUCCUGGGCUCGAGCACUGUAGAGGCAGAUGGAAUUCCGGGUGUAGCGGUGGAAUGCGUAGAGAUCCGGAAGAACACCGGUGGCGAAGGCGGUCUGCUGGGCAGUUGCUGACACUGAGGCGCGACAGCGUGGGGAGCAAACAGG
RNAcentral lists this ribosomal RNA (253 nucleotides) under uncultured bacterium. RNAcentral's name for it is "partial 16S ribosomal RNA". It matches the Rfam family "Bacterial small subunit ribosomal RNA", at positions 524 to 776 of the family's 1533-position model. The record is from RNAcentral.